AUUGAACGCUGGCGGCAGGCCUAACACAUGCAAGUCGAGCGGGGUUUUCGGACCUAGCGGCGGACGGGUGAGUAAUGCGUAGGAAGCUACCCGAUAGAGGGGGAUACCAGUUGGAAACGACUGUUAAUACCGCAUAAUGUCUACGGACCAAAGUGUGGGACCUUCGGGCCACAUGCUAUCGGAUGCGCCUACGUGGGAUUAGCUAGUUGGUGAGGUAAUGGCUCACCAAGGCGACGAUCUCUAGCUGGUUUGAGAGGAUGAUCAGCCACACUGGAACUGAGACACGGUCCAGACUCCUACGGGAGGCAGCAGUGGGGAAUAUUGGACAAUGGGCGCAAGCCUGAUCCAGCCAUGCCGCGUGUGUGAAGAAGGCCUUAGGGUGUAAAGCACUUUCAGCGAGGAGGAAAGGUUGGCAGCUAAUACCUGUCGGCUGUGACGUUACUCGCAGAAGAAGCACCGGCUAACUCCGUGCCAGCAGCCG
RNAcentral lists this ribosomal RNA (481 nucleotides) under uncultured bacterium. RNAcentral describes it as "bacterial SSU rRNA". It matches the Rfam family "Bacterial small subunit ribosomal RNA", at positions 30 to 517 of the family's 1533-position model. The record is from RNAcentral.